Molecule: ribosomal RNA, 449 nt
Filed under: uncultured bacterium
Lineage: Bacteria
Description: partial 16S ribosomal RNA
Rfam family: Bacterial small subunit ribosomal RNA
Source: RNAcentral
AACGAACGCUGGCGGCAUGCCUAACACAUGCGAGUCGAACGAGAUCUUCGGGUCUAGUGGCGCACGGGUGCGUAACGCGUGGGAAUCUGCCCUUUGGUUCGGAAUAACAGUUGGAAACGACUGCUAAUACCGGAUGAUGACGAAAGUCCAAAGAUUUAUCGCCAGAGGAUGAGCCCGCGUAGGAUUAGCUAGUUGGUGUGGUAAAGGAGCACCAAGGCGACGAUCCUUAGCUGGUCUGAGAGGAUGAUCAGCCACACUGGGACUGAGACACGGCCCAGACUCCUACGGGAGGCAGCAGUGGGGAAUAUUGGACAAUGGGCGAAAGCCUGAUCCAGCAAUGCCGCGUGAGUGAUGAAGGCCUUAGGGUUGUAAAGCUCUGUUACCCGGGAUGAUAAUGACAGUACCGGGAGAAUAAGCUCCGGCUAACUCCGUGCCAGCCGCCGCAGUAG